RNAcentral lists this ribosomal RNA (363 nucleotides) under uncultured eukaryote. Its description in RNAcentral is "partial 18S ribosomal RNA". It matches the Rfam family "Eukaryotic small subunit ribosomal RNA", at positions 592 to 976 of the family's 1831-position model. The record is from RNAcentral.
CAAUAGCGUAUACUAAUGUUGUUGCAGUUAAAAAGCUCGUAGUUGAACUUCUGGUAGGAGUGUCCCGGCCUUUUUGUUUUUACAAAUUGUAUGCUGUGUGACAUCUCUGGCCAUCCUUCUUCUUUGUUUAAAGAAGAUCUUUCACUGUAAAAAAAUUAGGGUGUUCAAAGCAAAAGUUUCUUUGGAAUAUAUUAGUAUGGGAUGAUAAGAUAGGCUCUAGAUGCUAUUUUGUUGGCUUGCACAUUUAGAGAAUGAUUAACAGGGACAGUUGGGGGUAUUCGUAUUUACAUGUCAGAGGUGAAAUUCUUGGAUUUUGGAAAGACGAACUACUGCGAAAGCAUUUACCAAGGAUGUUUUCAUUAA